This is a long non-coding RNA of Drosophila novamexicana, 744 nucleotides long. RefSeq lists it as uncharacterized. The record is from RefSeq and is a predicted model, not a curated record. The transcript has 5 exons. Lineage: Eukaryota; Metazoa; Arthropoda; Insecta; Diptera; Drosophilidae.
CAGGUGCGUAUAAUGGUUUGUGUAUCCUUAUAACUUUUGGCAUUAAUAUUUCUUUUAUUUCCUUCUAAUUUGCACGAGGAAUGGAGAAUUCAGAUGAAUUAGUAUUCAGGCACGUGAACAUUUCUUCCCCGGAAUUCAUUUUUUUAUUUUAACAGCACUAAAUGGAACAGGCGACGAAAUACUAUAAAGAUAUUGCUAGUCGCUGCAAAAUAAACACACACGGAUUCAAUUUAGAGGCAAUCGUUGCGCCGAUUUAGGAACAAUGUGCCCACACAACUACUUAAAACUGGGUAUGUCACGAUACUCAGUCGUGCAACAGAGCUCUCUGGGGAUGGUAAGGGGCGAUAUAAAUGGGUAAUCCAAUUAGGCGCACAUGCAUCACCUUUGGAGUUUCCCUCACCGUUCGCACUCUAAACUGAAGCUCGGCGUAAGUGCCUAUGGAGUACGGUUAGGAGUCUCCAUCAUUUCUCUGCCAAGGGCUCGAACGCGGAUGGGCAAAAUGGAACGGACUCACUCGGAGGAUGUGGGCGUUGUCUCGCCUGUGGCCGCUUCUUCGUUGUUGGCGUCCGGUCGUUGAUGGCUCGUCUCGUCGCCUUCAGGGUUGCGCCGACGCUUGGCUGGCGGCGUCGCGGAUAUGGCUGGUGUGCGCCGCUGAGCCGAAUCCUGGCCUUUGGUAUGUUUCGUGCGCUUCUCUGGUGCGGGAGCUGGUCUCUUUGUUGCCGGAGCCGUUAAUUUUUAUAUUUU